AAUUACCAUUAGCAGUUGAAGUGGUAGGAAAUUUUUACAUAGGAGAGUAUGGUGAUCAUAUUUGCAUUUUAGAAAAUAAUGGAUAGCAGUUUGUUAGGGGAACAAAGGACAGAGACAGGGAGACUAUUUAAAACGUUAACAAAAAAUACCAGUGACAGAUGAUGAGGCAUCUACCUGAUGGGAACGGAGAAGGAGAUGGAUUCAGAAACUACUUAGGAGGUACAGUCAUCAAGAUAUAGAUGACUAAUUGCAUGUAGGGGGUAAAAAAGUAGGAAGAAGAGAGGAUGAUGACUCCUGCGUUUCUGGCUUGGGAAAGUGGUUAGAUUGUGGGCUGGAUGUGUGCGUGAUUGUGUGUGUGUAGCUGAAAAGGCAAUUUAGCUUUGUAACUGUUGAAGUGAAUAUGGACCAUAGACAUAGAUAUCCACUAGGUUGCUGAACAUGUAGUCUGCAAAUCAGGAGAAAAUUUUAGGUGAAGAUGGUAAUUUAGAAUCAUCAGAGUCUAUAUGAGGCAGGCAGUCCAAGGCUGAUGCCCAAAGAAGCCAUCAAGACCCGUUCUACUUCCAGCUCCUUCUGUCCUCAUAAUCAUAGAUGAUUGCUCCACAUCCAGAGUCUCGCUCAGUUUCCAGGUUGGAGUGUACUGGCGUGAUCAUGGCUCAUUGCAACCUCUGCCUCCCAGCUUCAAGUGAUUCCCCUGCUUCAGCCUCCCAAGUAGCUGGGACUACAGGCAUGUACCACCAUGCCUGGCUAAUUUUUUUUUUUAUUUUAGUAGAGACGGGGUUUAACCAUGUUGGCCAGGAUGGUCUUGAUCUCCUGACCUUGUGAUCCGCCCACCUCAGCCUCCCAAAGUGCUGGGAUUACAGGUGUGAGCCACCUUGCCUGGCCUUCUAUUCCUUUUUCUAAUGCAUUUGCCCCAGCUAUCUGUAUAGUCUGCAAUCUGGUAGACGGACCACAGGCAAACCACUGUGGCAAACUAAAAGUGUCUAUCUCAGAUCCUUCCACCACCAUCAUUUCCAAAAUCGCCCUCACUAUCUCCACCACCAUCACCUUUACCACCAUCACCACUAUCACCCUCAUCCUUCCCAUCACCAUCUCCACUGCUAUCUCUCAGCACCAUCAUCAUCACCACUACCACCAUCAUCACCAUGAGCACCACCUCUGUCAUCAUCAAAAAAGCACACAGCUCAGGCUGGCCUGUUGGAGGAUAACAGAUCACGUGGAGCAGAGAUGAGCCGGCCCACCUCAGGCCCUACCAGAGCAAUCAGCUUGCCAAACACGACAUACAUCAGCGAGGCCAGCCUAGACCAUCCAGCCCUAGCUGAGCCAGCCCAGACCAGAGACUCAUGAAAACAGUAAAAUGUUCAGCAUUUUAAGGCACUAGAUUUUGUGGUAGUUUAUUAUACACCAAAAGCUAACUGAUACAGGGACCA
Long non-coding RNA from Symphalangus syndactylus (siamang), 1427 nucleotides. RefSeq lists it as uncharacterized. The record is from RefSeq and is a predicted model, not a curated record. NCBI's taxonomy places the organism in Eukaryota, Metazoa, Chordata, Mammalia, Primates, Hylobatidae.